UCACCCCGUCCCCUGCUGCCACAGGGCUUUUGCAUGUGCUAUUCUCACCACUCCUACCGCCCACUCUGCUCAUACUCAUCGUUGGCCCUGAAGAGCCUUCUCAGACCUCUCUGACUGGAUCCGAGGCCCCUGCUAUUGCCUUUCCCAGCAAUAUGUUCUUCUCUCUCAUACAUUGGUCACACUUGCAAAUUUAUAUUUUGUAAAGACCUCCAGUCGGAACCCUGUAUCCUUUCUCCUUUCUUCUUUUUAGUGAUAGAACCAGCCCAGCUAGGGUCCUGCCCCAGCUUUCCUUGCAGCUGAUAUAGCCUCGUGACCACAUUUGGCCAGUCGAGUGAGAACAGAGGUGACCUGUACAGUGCCCAGGCAUCUCCUCCCCCAGGUCGCCCACUGUCAGGAAAUGACAACCACUGGAACAUCCGCUGUGGAUCCAGAGGUGGAGGCCACAUGCUGAGGAUGCAGGAGCCAACUCACCACAUGAGUCGCUGGCCGAGCUCUGGAAGCAGAGGACCUGCCAGCCCUAGACCACCCACCUCUGCUCUGUUACACAUGCAGACCCGGCUGAUGGUGGAAGCUCCGGACCUGCCGAGUGAGCCAGUGAGGGUUUCCUGCAAGAAGAAAGCAGCUCUGCUCAGCACAAGGCCUCAGCAAGCUGAGACGGAAUGAUCUUUAUUUCUAAAAAUAAUACCAACUUGGAUCUUGGAGCUGAUUCUCUCUACAGGACACCAGAAACCAUGCUGGGGGCAAGAGCAAAAUACAGAGCAGAUCGAGCCAAGCACGCAGGGAGUGACCCUUCCCAACUUGAGCAAGGACAGUGGUAGGGAGCAGCUGCUGGGAUGGCCGCUGGAAAACCUGAAAUGGAGUUACAGUGAGGAGUCCUCCCUAGGACAGAACCCACCCAUCCUGGGUUUUCAGUAACUCUUUGGAGGCCUUACAGGGUCUCACAGAUAUCCAUACAUUGCUGAAGACUUUGGUUCAAGGAGAAACCUUCUGGCGCUUUCUAGUGCCUUCUGGAGCUUCUGCAGAAGCUCCUGCCAAAUGAGAGGUGACCCCUUGCCUAUAUCACCAGAUUUCUAGCAGCUGGCCAGGUGGGGUCAGAGAGAAAGUCCAAGGGAGAAAAAAAGCCAUGGGCAGAGGAGCCUGAGAAGGUGGGAGAUGAACAUUAAGGACACAGGUUAUAACGCAUCAUGGACCAAAUAACUGAGUCACAAGGUGCCUGGCACAUUCCAUGUUCCAGUGGGUCUAGGCUCUAUCAGCAGAGACCCCCAAACAGUACAAACGUCCAACAAUAGCUGUGGCCCAUUCAUAAACUGGGACAUACUGGGGAGGGAGGGACAAACAGUCUUUUACUGCCCCAGAGACUCUCCCAGAGGCUGCAGGUUGCACAGAAUGGGCAUCGUCCUGGGAGCCAGACUCUGGGAGCCGACUCUUACCGGCUUUGUGACUUUGAGUAAAUAAUUAUGUCUUCCUUUGUCUCCAUUGUUCUCCUAUACAGCAGGGGUAAUAAUAAUUCUUGCCUAGGGGAGUUCCUGGGUGGCUUCGGCUCAGGGUGUGAUCCUGGGGUCCUGGGAUUGAGUCCCACAUCGGGCUCCACGCAGGGAGCCUGCUUCUCCCUCUGCCUCUGUCUCUCUCU
Molecule: long non-coding RNA, 1630 nt
Organism: Nyctereutes procyonoides (raccoon dog)
Lineage: Eukaryota; Metazoa; Chordata; Mammalia; Carnivora; Canidae
Exons: 3
Source: RefSeq, a predicted model, not a curated record